GGGUAGCCGGCCUGAGAGGGCGACCGGCCACACUGGGACUGAGACACGGCCCAGACUCCUGCGGGAGGCAGCAGUGGGGAAUAUUGCGCAAUGGGCGAAAGCCUGACGCAGCGACGCCGCGUGGGGGAUGACGGCCUUCGGGUUGUAAACCUCUUUUACCACUCACGCAGGCUCCGGGUUUUCUCGGGGUUGACGGUAGGUGGGGAAUAAGGACCGGCUAACUACGUGCCAGCAGCCGCGGUAAUACGUAGGGUCCGAGCGUUGUCCGGAAUUAUUGGGCGUAAAGAGCUCGUAGGCGGCGUGUCGCGUCUGCUGUGAAAGACCGGGGCUUAACUCCGGUUCUGCAGUGGAUACGGGCAUGCUAGAGGUAGGUAGGGGAGACUGGAAUUCCUGGUGUAGCGGUGAAAUGCGCAGAUAUCAGGAGGAACACCGGUGGCGAAGGCGGGUCUCUGGGCCUUACCUGACGCUGAGGAGCGAAAGCAUGGGGAGCGAACAGGAUUAGAUACCCUGGUAGUCCAUGCCGUAAACGUUGGGCGCUAGGUGUGGGGACUUUCCACGGUUUCCGCGCCGUAGCUAACGCAUUAAGCGCCCCGCCUGGGGAGUAC
This 605-nucleotide ribosomal RNA is filed under the name Nocardiopsis alba. RNAcentral's name for it is "bacterial SSU rRNA". It matches the Rfam family "Bacterial small subunit ribosomal RNA", at positions 281 to 883 of the family's 1533-position model. The record is from RNAcentral. Lineage: Bacteria; Bacillati; Actinomycetota; Actinomycetes; Streptosporangiales; Nocardiopsidaceae.